RNAcentral lists this ribosomal RNA (324 nucleotides) under uncultured eukaryote. RNAcentral's name for it is "partial 18S ribosomal RNA". It matches the Rfam family "Eukaryotic small subunit ribosomal RNA", at positions 1470 to 1796 of the family's 1831-position model. The record is from RNAcentral.
CCCUUAGAUGUUCUGGGCUGCACGCGCGCUACACUGAUGCGCUCAACGAGUUUACGACCUUGCCCGGAAGGGUUGGGUAAUCUUUUUAAAACGCAUCGUGAUGGGGAUAGAUUAUUGCAAUUAUUAAUCUUUAACGAGGAAUUCCUAGUAAGCGCGAGUCAUCAGCUCGUGCUGAUUACGUCCCUGCCCUUUGUACACACCGCCCGUCGCUCCUACCGAUUGGAUGAUCCGGUGAGCUAUUCGGACCUUCGCUUCGUCGAUUUUCGGCUUUGUGAGGGAAAGUCUCGCGAACCUUAUCAUCUAGAGGAAGGAGAAGUCGUAACA